ACCUAUAUGUAGCUAAACUACAAGUAACCAUGCACACCAGCCAAGAUAAUCCAAAGUGAGGGUGCUAAAGAACAUAAAGAGGCGAGGUAAAGAUUGAGGUUAAUUUGCAGGUUCGGAUCCCAUCCCGCUUGAUCGAAGGGAAAGCUGCAACCUAUAAAGAGCCACGGGACCGACAUGCAUGCAACGCAUGCAGAUCGAGCCGAGCCCUCAACAUCCCUACGCGCGUGCAUGGGAAAGCGUGCACUCGGUAGUAGGAGUACGUAGUAGUAUCAUACGGGCUCCCGUCCGAUCUCUCGUAUCCUGCCGGCCGGGCAUCAAGAGCUCUUUUUCUCUUUCCCUUUAGUUUUUGAUGUGGUUCUGCUUUCGCAAAGCUAUCUCCAUG
Molecule: long non-coding RNA, 382 nt
Filed under: Hordeum vulgare
Lineage: Eukaryota; Viridiplantae; Streptophyta; Magnoliopsida; Poales; Poaceae
Description: long non-coding RNA (HVUL_LNC008780)
Source: RNAcentral